UAGGGCGCAAGCGUUGUCCGGAAUUAUUGGGCGUAAAGAGCUCGUAGGCGGCUUGUCACGUCGGGUGUGAAAGCCCGGGGCUUAACCCCGGGUCUGCAUUCGAUACGGGCAGGCUAGAGUGUGGUAGGGGAGAUCGGAAUUCCUGGUGUAGCGGUGAAAUGCGCAGAUAUCAGGAGGAACACCGGUGGCGAAGGCGGUUCUCUGGGCAUGUUCUGACGCUGAGGAGCGAAAGUGUGGGGAGCGAACAGG
Molecule: ribosomal RNA, 249 nt
Filed under: uncultured bacterium
Lineage: Bacteria
Description: partial 16S ribosomal RNA
Rfam family: Bacterial small subunit ribosomal RNA
Source: RNAcentral